This 1255-nucleotide ribosomal RNA is filed under the name unidentified. RNAcentral's name for it is "Cteniopinus hypocrita 16S ribosomal RNA". The stretch from base 1013 to 1171 matches the Rfam family "Archaeal large subunit ribosomal RNA", at positions 2542 to 2701 of the family's 2987-position model. The record is from RNAcentral.
UUUUAUUUUAUUAUUAUUUUUAUGUUUUUUAUUUGUUAAUAAGAAUUAUAUUUUUUUUAGUUUUUGUUAGAAAAAAUUUUUUUAUUAUAGUUUAUAGUAUUGAUAUAGAAUUUAUUUAAUUUUUGAAAAGAAGAAUUUAUUUUUUGUACCUUGUGUGUCAGGGUUUAUUUAGCUAAUUAUUUAAUUUUCUCGAAUUCAAAAGAUCUAUUAUUUUAUUUAUUUUAUUCUUGAAUAAAUAUUUAUAAUUAAAUAAUAGUAAUGAAAUGUUAUUCGUUUUUGAUGAUAUCUAGUUUCUUAAGAAAUUAAUUUAAUUUACUUAAUUUAUAUUGUGUCUAUUUUUAUAAAUUGAUUCAUUUAUAUUUAUUUAUGAUUAUUGGGAUAAGCUUUAGAUCAUAUUAUUAUAAUUUUUAUUUAAUUAAUAAUUUUAUUUAGGAUUAGAAUUUUCCAUUUUUUGGAGGAUGUUAUAUUUUAAAUUUUUUAUUUUUGAUUUUUUUUAUUUUAAUUAUUUAUUAGGAUUGGAUUUAAAUUUUUUUAUUUUUGUAAUAAUGAUUAAAUUAGUAUAAUUUUAUUUUUAUUUAUAUUGUUAUUUUAAUAAAAGGAACUCGGCAAAUUAGGUUUUCACCUGUUUAUUAAAAACAUGUCUUUAUGAUUAUUAUUUAAGGUCUGGCCUGCCCAAUGAUUAUUUAAAUGGCCGCAGUAUCUUGACUGUGCAAAGGUAGCAUAAUCAUUAGUUUCUUAAUUGGAAGCUGGUAUGAAAGGUUUGAUGAAAAAUUUACUGUCUUUUAUUUAUUGUUUUAGAAUUUUAUUUUUAAGUUAAAAAGCUUAAAUUUUUAAUAUAGACGAGAAGACCCUAUAGAGUUUUAUUGAUUUUUUGUUAUUUUUUAUGUUUUAUUUUUGCAUUUUUUCAAUUUUGUUGGGGUGAUAGAUAAAUUUUGUAAACUUUAUUUUUUAUUAACGCUAAUUUGCGUUUUUUUGAUCCUUUAUUUGGAUUAUAAGAUUAAAUUACCUUAGGGAUAACAGCGUAAUUUUUUUUGAAAGUUCUUAUUUAUAGAAAAGAUUGCGACCUCGAUGUUGGAUUAAAAUUAAUAUUUGGUGUAGUAGCUUUAAUAUUAGGUCUGUUCGACCUUUAAAAUUUUACAUGAUCUGAGUUUAGACCGGCGUGAGCCAGGUUGGUUUCUAUCUUGUUUUUUUUUCUAUAUUUUAGUACGAAAGGACCAUUUAUGGAAAUAAUAUUUUUUAUUUUGAAUUUUGUUAA